This 521-nucleotide long non-coding RNA is filed under the name Malus domestica (apple). Its description in RNAcentral is "long non-coding RNA (MDOM_LNC014341)". The record is from RNAcentral. Lineage: Eukaryota; Viridiplantae; Streptophyta; Magnoliopsida; Rosales; Rosaceae.
CCGGCUUAUCCAUCUUCAAAAACAACCCAUUUAUCACCGUCGCGCCGUUCUCACUCGCCCUGUUCCUCAGGUACUGGUCCAGCACCUCCCGCCUCACCAUCCCAAUGUACUCGUGCGGCUUCAGGGUCUGCCCGAUGUCCACCGCCACGUUCGACGGAGAUAUCAUCUUCAUCUUGGUGACGCGGCGGUCGAUGAUGUCUAGCGGGAGGUCGAACUCGCCCACCAUGCAGAGCGGGAUGGCCCCGCCGCAGGGCUUGCAGUUGUCCAUCUUCCGCUCGAUGAGGAAUGUCUCGACGCCGCCCUUGGCUAGAGUUUCUGCGGCCGCACCGCCGGCGGGUCCGCCGCCUAUGACGGCGACGCGGAGGUUUCGACCAGUGACUUUUGGGCUGGUCUUGGCGGCUUUGACUUGGAGGGUUCGGCGGUUUGAGGAGUUCGGAGAAAUGGGUUUUGCUUGCAUUGUGAAAUGGGUUUUCUCCGCGGCGGUUUGGCGGAGGCCGAUGAAGGAUUUCAGGGCGAUGGAG